RNAcentral lists this unclassified non-coding RNA (253 nucleotides) under Colletotrichum destructivum. Its description in RNAcentral is "sequence contains 5.8S rRNA gene". The stretch from base 1 to 53 matches the Rfam family "5.8S ribosomal RNA", at positions 102 to 154 of the family's 154-position model. The record is from RNAcentral. Lineage: Eukaryota; Fungi; Ascomycota; Sordariomycetes; Glomerellales; Glomerellaceae.
GAACGCACAUUGCGCCCGCCAGCAUUCUGGCGGGCAUGCCUGUUCGAGCGUCAUUUCAACCCUCAAGCCCAGCUUGGUGUUGGGGCCCUACGGUCGACGUAGGCCCUUAAAGGUAGUGGCGGACCCUCCCGGAGCCUCCUUUGCGUAGUAACUUAACGUCUCGCACUGGGAUCCGGAGGGACUCUUGCCGUAAAACCCCCAAAACUUUUACAGGUUGACCUCGGAUCAGGUAGGAAUACCCGCUGAACUUAAG